This 737-nucleotide ribosomal RNA is filed under the name uncultured Phaeobacter sp. RNAcentral's name for it is "bacterial SSU rRNA". It matches the Rfam family "Bacterial small subunit ribosomal RNA", at positions 97 to 870 of the family's 1533-position model. The record is from RNAcentral. Lineage: Bacteria; Pseudomonadati; Pseudomonadota; Alphaproteobacteria; Rhodobacterales; Roseobacteraceae.
GGCGGACGGGUGAGUAACGCGUGGGAAUGUGCCCUUCUCUACGGAAUAGCCACUGGAAACGGUGAGUAAUACCGUAUACGCCCUCAGGGGGAAAGAUUUAUCGGAGAAGGAUCAGCCCGCGUUAGAUUAGGUAGUUGGUGGGGUAACGGCCUACCAAGCCUACGAUCUAUAGCUGGUUUUAGAGGAUGAUCAGCCACACUGGGACUGAGACACGGCCCAGACUCCUACGGGAGGCAGCAGUAGGGAAUCUUGGACAAUGGGGGCAACCCUGAUCCAGCCAUGCCGCGUGAGUGAAGAAGGCCCUAGGGUCGUAAAGCUCUUUCGCCUGUGAUGAUAAUGACAGUAGCAGGUAAAGAAACCCCGGCUAACUCCGUGCCAGCAGCCGCGGUAAUACGGAGGGGGUUAGCGUUGUUCGGAAUUACUGGGCGUAAAGCGCGCGUAGGCGGAUUGGAAAGUUGGGGGUGAAAUCCCGGGGCUCAACCCCGGAACUGCCUUCAAAACUCCCAGUCUAGAGUUCGAGAGAGGUGAGUGGAAUUCCGAGUGUAGAGGUGAAAUUCGUAGAUAUUCGGAAGAACACCAGUGGCGAAGGCGGCUCACUGGCUCGAUACUGACGCUGAGGUGCGAAAGUGUGGGGAGCAAACAGGAUUAGAUACCCUGGUAGUCCACACCGUAAACGAUGAAUGCCAGUCGUCGGAUAGUAUACUAUUCGGUGACACACCUAACGGAUUAAGCAUUCC